This 781-nucleotide ribosomal RNA is filed under the name uncultured Bacteroidota bacterium. Its description in RNAcentral is "bacterial SSU rRNA". It matches the Rfam family "Bacterial small subunit ribosomal RNA", at positions 78 to 856 of the family's 1533-position model. Lineage: Bacteria; Pseudomonadati; Bacteroidota. The record is from RNAcentral.
GCUUGCACUCUUUGGACGUCGACCGGCGCACGGGUGAGUAACGCGUAUCCAACCUUCCCAUUACUGUGGGAUAACCUGCCGAAAGGCAGACUAAUACCGCAUGGUCUUCGAUGACGGCAUCAGAUUUGAAGUAAAGAUUUAUCGGUAAUGGAUGGGGAUGCGUCUGAUUAGCUUGUUGGCGGGGUAACGGCCCACCAAGGCGACGAUCAGUAGGGGUUCUGAGAGGAAGGUCCCCCACAUUGGAACUGAGACACGGUCCAAACUCCUACGGGAGGCAGCAGUGAGGAAUAUUGGUCAAUGGACGGAAGUCUGAACCAGCCAAGUAGCGUGCAGGAUGACGGCCCUAUGAGUUGUAAACUGCUUUUGUAUGGGGAUAAAGUUAGGGACGUGUCCCUAUUUGCAGGUACCAUACGAAUAAGGACCGGCUAAUUCCGUGCCAGCAGCCGCGGUAAUACGGAAGGUCCGGGCGUUAUCCGGAUUUAUUGGGUUUAAAGGGAGCGUAGGCCGGAGAUUAAGUGUGUUGUGAAAUGUAGACGCUCAACGUCUGACUUGCAGCGCAUACUGGUUUCCUUGAGUACGCACAACGUUGGCGGAAUUCGUCGUGUAGCGGUGAAAUGCUUAGAUAUGACGAAGAACUCCGAUUGCGAAGGCAGCUGACGGGAGCGCAACUGACGCUUAAGCUCGAAGGUGCGGGUAUCAAACAGGAUUAGAUACCCUGGUAGUCCGCACAGUAAACGAUGGAUGCCCGCUGUUGGUACCUGGUAUCAGCGGCUAAGCGAAA